Molecule: unclassified non-coding RNA, 353 nt
Filed under: soil metagenome
Description: partial contains 5.8S ribosomal RNA, internal transcribed spacer 2, and large subunit ribosomal RNA
Rfam family: 5.8S ribosomal RNA (bases 1-120)
Source: RNAcentral
GAUGAAGAACGCAGCGAAAUGCGAUAAGUAAUGUGAAUUGCAGAAUUCAGUGAAUCAUCGAAUCUUUGAACGCACAUUGCGCCCGCCAGUAUUCUGGCGGGCAUGCCUGUUCGAGCGUCAUUACAACCCUCAGGCCCCCGGGCCUGGCGUUGGGGAUCGGCGGAAGCCCCCUGCGGGCACAACGCCGUCCCCCAAAUACAGUGGCGGUCCCGCCGCAGCUUCCAUUGCGUGGUAGCUAACACCUCGCAACUGGAGAGCGGCGCGGCCACGCCGUAAAACACCCAACUUCUGAAUGUUGACCUCGAAUCAGGUAGGAAUACCCGCUGAACUUAAGCAUAUCAAUAAGCGGAGGA